GUGUCAGCAGCCGCGGUAAUACGGAGGGUGCUAGCGUUGUUCGGAAUUACUGGGCGUAAAGCGCACGUAGGCGGGCUUGUAAGUCGAUUGUGAAAGCCCCGGGCUCAAUCCGGGAAUUGCAGUCGAAACUACAAGUCUUGAAUACCUGAGAGGGUGACGGAAUUCCUGGUGUAGAAGUGAAAUUCGUAGAUAUCAGGAGGAACACCGGAGGCGAAGGCGGUUGCCUGGCAGUGUAUUGACGCUGAGGUGCGAAAGCGUGGGGAGCAAACAGGAUUAGAAACCCUGGUAGUCC
This 292-nucleotide ribosomal RNA is filed under the name uncultured bacterium. RNAcentral's name for it is "partial 16S ribosomal RNA". It matches the Rfam family "Bacterial small subunit ribosomal RNA", at positions 505 to 796 of the family's 1533-position model. The record is from RNAcentral.